Molecule: microRNA precursor, 194 nt
Filed under: Oryza meridionalis
Lineage: Eukaryota; Viridiplantae; Streptophyta; Magnoliopsida; Poales; Poaceae
Description: MIR812 microRNA precursor family
Rfam family: MIR812 microRNA precursor family
Source: Rfam by way of RNAcentral
AAGGACUGCAGUUUUGCACCGUACAUGUCCAAUGUUUGACCGUCCAUAUUAUUUGAAAAAAAAAUGAUUAAUAUUUUUGUUGUUAUUAGAUGAUAAAACAUGAAUAGUAAUUUAUGUUUGACUAUUUUUUUAAAAAAAUUAUAACUUUUUAAAUAAAACGAACAGUCACACGUAAAUAAACAACUACACUUAAA